This 471-nucleotide ribosomal RNA is filed under the name Triticum aestivum (bread wheat). RNAcentral describes it as "partial small subunit ribosomal RNA". The record is from RNAcentral. Lineage: Eukaryota; Viridiplantae; Streptophyta; Magnoliopsida; Poales; Poaceae.
AUGAAAACAAAGUGGGACAGAGAAGCGGAAAUUGAAAUAAUAGAAGAGGAGGAAGAUCUCAACUCUGAUCCAUAUGAUUUCGUCUACAGCAACAUACCAACAACAACAAACGUGCUCGAAAAAGAAGCAAAUUGCUUUUUCUGCCAGGCAACCAAAUUCAAGUAUGAAACUGAGGGAUUAUGCUGCAAAAAAGGACAAAUAAGACUAGCCAAUCCACAUACACCACCAGAACUCAUGAGACUAUGGACAAGCACCGACUCUGAUGCAAGACAUUUUUGGCAGAAUAUAAGAUUUUUCAAUGGUCAUUGCUCAUUUACUACACUAUAUUGCCACCUCGACAGUGACACAGCUGACAUGAGAACGACUGGCAUUUACACCUUUGGAGCACAUGGCCAAAUAUACCACAACAUACACUCAUUUGGCAAUAGUCACUCAGAUCCAAAGCAUCUGGAGCUCUACUUCUACCCAUGA